CUUUUACAAUGAAGAGUUUGAUCCUGGCUCAGGAUGAACGCUAGCUACAGGCUUAACACAUGCAAGUCGAGGGGCAUCAGGAAGAAAGCUUGCUUUCUUUGCUGGCGACCGGCGCACGGGUGAGUAACACGUAUCCAACCUGCCCUUUACUCGGGGAUAGCCUUUCGAAAGAAAGAUUAAUACCCGAUAGCAUAAUGAUUCCGCAUGGUUUCAUUAUUAAAGGAUUCCGGUAAAGGAUGGGGAUGCGUUCCAUUAGGUUGUUGGUGAGGUAACGGCUCACCAAGCCUUCGAUGGAUAGGGGUUCUGAGAGGAAGGUCCCCCACAUUGGAACUGAGACACGGUCCAAACUCCUACGGGAGGCAGCAGUGAGGAAUAUUGGUCAAUGGGCGCUAGCCUGAACCAGCCAAGUAGCGUGAAGGAUGAAGGCUCUAUGGGUCGUAAACUUCUUUUAUAUAAGAAUAAAGUGCAGUAUGUAUACUGUUUUGUAUGUAUUAUAUGAAUAAGGAUCGGCUAACUCCGUGCCAGCAGCCGCGGUAAUACGGAGGAUCCGAGCGUUAUCCGGAUUUAUUGGGUUUAAAGGGAGCGUAGGUGGACUGGUAAGUCAGUUGUGAAAGUUUGCGGCUCAACCGUAAAAUUGCAGUUGAUACUGUCAGUCUUGAGUACAGUAGAGGUGGGCGGAAUUCGUGGUGUAGCGGUGAAAUGCUUAGAUAUCACGAAGAACUCCGAUUGCGAAGGCAGCUCACUGGACUGCAACUGACACUGAUGCUCGAAAGUGUGGGUAUCAAACAGGAUUAGAUACCCUGGUAGUCCACACAGUAAACGAUGAAUACUCGCUGUUUGCGAUAUACAGUAAGCGGCCAAGCGAAAGCAUUAAGUAUUCCACCUGGGGAGUACGCCGGCAACGGUGAAACUCAAAGGAAUUGACGGGGGCCCGCACAAGCGGAGGAACAUGUGGUUUAAUUCGAUGAUACGCGAGGAACCUUACCCGGGCUUAAAUUGCAGUGGAAUGAUGUGGAAACAUGUCAGUGAGCAAUCACCGCUGUGAAGGUGCUGCAUGGUUGUCGUCAGCUCGUGCCGUGAGGUGUCGGCUUAAGUGCCAUAACGAGCGCAACCCUUAUCUUUAGUUACUAACAGGUCAUGCUGAGGACUCUAGAGAGACUGCCGUCGUAAGAUGUGAGGAAGGUGGGGAUGACGUCAAAUCAGCACGGCCCUUACGUCCGGGGCUACACACGUGUUACAAUGGGGGGUACAGAAGGCAGCUAGCGGGUGACCGUAUGCUAAUCCCAAAAGCCUCUCUCAGUUCGGAUCGAAGUCUGCAACCCGACUUCGUGAAGCUGGAUUCGCUAGUAAUCGCGCAUCAGCCACGGCGCGGUGAAUACGUUCCCGGGCCUUGUACACACCGCCCGUCAAGCCAUGGGAGCCGGGGGUACCUGAAGUACGUAACCGCAAGGAUCGUCCUAGGGUAAAACUGGUGACUGGGGCUAAGUCGUAACAAGGUAGCCGUACCGGAAGGUGCGGCUGGAACACCUCCUUUCUGGAG
RNAcentral lists this ribosomal RNA (1540 nucleotides) under Bacteroides fragilis. RNAcentral's name for it is "bacterial SSU rRNA". It matches the Rfam family "Bacterial small subunit ribosomal RNA". Lineage: Bacteria; Pseudomonadati; Bacteroidota; Bacteroidia; Bacteroidales; Bacteroidaceae. The record is from RNAcentral.